ACCCUGAAGAUCCGAAUUUGU
This 21-nucleotide microRNA is filed under the name Gallus gallus (chicken). RNAcentral's name for it is "microRNA Ros-gga". The record is from RNAcentral. Lineage: Eukaryota; Metazoa; Chordata; Aves; Galliformes; Phasianidae.